GAUGAACGCUGGCGGCGUGCCUAAUACAUGCAAGUCGAGCGAACAGAUGAGGAGCUUGCUCCUCUGACGUUAGCGGCGGACGGGUGAGUAACACGUGGAUAACCUACCUAUAAGACUGGGAUAACUUCAGGAAACCGGAGCUAAUACCGGAUAAUAUAUUGAACCGCAUGGUUCAAUAGUGAAAGGCGGUUUUGCUGUCACUUAUAGAUGGAUCCGCGCCGCAUUAGCUAGUUGGUAAGGUAACGGCUUACCAAGGCAACGAUGCGUAGCCGACCUGAGAGGGUGAUCGGCCACACUGGAACUGAGACACGGUCCAGACUCCUACGGGAGGCAGCAGUAGGGAAUCUUCCGCAAUGGGCGAAAGCCUGACGGAGCAACGCCGCGUGAGUGAUGAAGGUCUUCGGAUCGUAAAACUCUGUUAUUAGGGAAGAACAAAUGUGUAAGUAACUAUGCACGUCUUGACGGUACCUAAUCAGAAAGCCACGGCUAACUACGUG
RNAcentral lists this ribosomal RNA (497 nucleotides) under uncultured bacterium. RNAcentral's name for it is "partial 16S ribosomal RNA". It matches the Rfam family "Bacterial small subunit ribosomal RNA", at positions 28 to 507 of the family's 1533-position model. The record is from RNAcentral.